CCUACGGGAGGCAGCAGUGGGGAAUUUUGCGCAAUGCUCGUAAGAGUGACGCAGCGACGCCGCGUGAAUGACGAAGGCCUUCGGGUCGUAAAGUUCUUUCGACAGGGAAGAAAAUGCCUAUAAGUAACUGUGUAUGUAUUGACGGUACCUGUAUAAGCAGCCCCGGCUAACUCCGUGCCAGCAGCCGCGGUAAUACGGAGGGGGCGAGCGUUGUUCGGAGGGACUGGGCGUAAAGAGAACGUAGGCGGUGUGUUAAGUCAUUAGUCAAAGACCAGAGCUCAACUUUAGUAAGGCUAGUGAUACUAUAAUACUAGAGUAUCAGAGAGGAUUGCAGAAUUCCUGGUGUAGCGGUGAAAUGCGUAGAUAUCAGGAGGAAUACCGUUAGCGAAGGCGGCAAUCUGGCUGGAAACUGACGCUGAGGUGCGAAAGCGUGGGUAGCAAACAGGAUUAGAUACCCGAGUAGUC
RNAcentral lists this ribosomal RNA (465 nucleotides) under uncultured bacterium. RNAcentral's name for it is "partial 16S ribosomal RNA". It matches the Rfam family "Bacterial small subunit ribosomal RNA", at positions 338 to 795 of the family's 1533-position model. The record is from RNAcentral.